RNAcentral lists this transfer-messenger RNA (385 nucleotides) under Anaerolineales. Its description in RNAcentral is "OLB14 sp003599285 Standard tmRNA". It matches the Rfam family "transfer-messenger RNA". Rfam says of the family: Bacterial tmRNA, also known as 10Sa RNA or SsrA, is named for its dual tRNA and mRNA-like properties. Its role is to liberate the mRNA from a stalled ribosome. The record is from RNAcentral. Lineage: Bacteria; Bacillati; Chloroflexota; Anaerolineae. RNAcentral also lists the same sequence under 1 other name.
GGGGAUGACAGGCUUCGACGGGAGAGGCUGGUCCCGGAAUGCGAGCCGAGAGCGCGCCGAACUCGUAAACUCAGCGCAAACAAUCAAGUGCCAACAACCGCACUUACGCUGCUAUGCCCCUCGCCGCCUAAGGCGAUCGCAUAACAGUCGGCAUCCUUUGAUGAUGCUGCGUCCGCCGGCACCGCCCUCCAUCGGGUGACGGACCGGGCGAAACAAAGAUGGAGUGCCGCGCGCGAUUCUGCUAAACGCGCGAAAGACCAGCAGAUGGUCACAGGCUUACCAGCCCGCCGGGGUGUCUGUGAUGACGAUCAACGGCAGGCUACGCUCGUAGAGUUCCGAGGGUCGAAUCUUUCGGACCCGGGUUCAAUUCCCGGCAUCUCCACAC